Hemiscyllium ocellatum (epaulette shark) is the source of this 205-nucleotide long non-coding RNA. RefSeq lists it as uncharacterized. NCBI's taxonomy places the organism in Eukaryota, Metazoa, Chordata, Chondrichthyes, Orectolobiformes, Hemiscylliidae. The transcript has 4 exons. The record is from RefSeq and is a predicted model, not a curated record.
UCAGGCAAUUCGUCAACUGAGUCACAGCCCAGGAGAUCCCAACCUUCUGGUGAAGGGGCAGCAGCCAGCGAUCUGGAGUAUGCAGUAGUUGGAGCAGCACACAAUGCUGAAAACACCACUGCGGAUCUGGUUUAUUCAGAGGUCACCAUCAAGAAGAGAAAACAACCCGGCAACAGAAUUGCUUUCUCCUCCGAUUUGAAAAAGG